This is a non-coding RNA of Microcebus murinus (gray mouse lemur), 6355 nucleotides long. The record is from RefSeq and is a predicted model, not a curated record. Lineage: Eukaryota; Metazoa; Chordata; Mammalia; Primates; Cheirogaleidae.
UCCUCUCCCGCUUCCUUCUUGACUUCCUACCCUUUUUCUUCAUUUCCUCUUCCUUUUACCUUUUCCUACUUGUCAGGGCAUAUUUCCUAUUCUCGCUCCCUCCUCUCGGCAUACCGUCUAGACCACUUCGGUGCGCAGUGACACUCUGGAGCAGGGCAUUCUCCGGGACCGGGUUAUUUCUCCUGCGGCAGGGUCGCCUCAGGAGUGCGUGCAAUUCCCAGACACUCACGACAAAUUCCUUCCUAAUUUCUCUCGAAAAGCAGGCGUUCUUAGCAGCUCUGCGCCUGUUUAAGGGUUGGGUGCGUUUGGAGGGGUGAAGGGAAAAGAGAGAGAGAGACACGGGGCAGUGAGAUGGGUGGGCAGUUGCAAGCGCCCUAUUCUGGAAUUAGUAUUUGGUCUUGGAAUUUUACAUCUGCAACGUUGCCGACAUCACUGUUGGCGUUGCCUGGGCUUUGCAAAUACGUGGGGAAGACUUGGGGAGCAUCCGGGCCUCAGUACUAUGUAUGUGAGGGGUUACCUAAUAUUUCAUAAGUAACUACACCCCGGUAACUGCUUCUGUUCCCAAACUGGAGCCCCCAGGGUCGAGUGGGGCCUGGUUCCGGGAGAGCGCAGAAAUUGUGGCCUUCUUCCCUGUGGCCUCCUCUUGGCGUUUUGGGAAACGAGCUUGACCCGCCCUUUUCUGCUCUCUUCCUCCAAAUCUAUAGACCCAAGUGGUCACUGCUGGAGCUGGGUGGAGCCAGGAUUGAGGGGUGGAUUAGGUGUCUGCGGGGGAAGGGCUGCCCGCGGGCCCCCAGGCCCUGCUACCUUAUGUACCAUGCGGGGUUCAGCGGCCGGCAAAGGCUUUUUUUCCACGCCUGCAUACCGGAGAACCCCCAAGGCGCUGCGUGUUGGGUCUAUCCUCUCCCAGCAGUCAUGCCAGCGUCCAAGGCCGCAGGUAUGGAAUACAGCACACCUAGGCGUGCUUGGCAAACCGGGCUCCAGGACCCACGGCCCCCACACAGGGUUCCCGAAAACCAGUUUGUUUGCACUCUCUACAGCCGAUCUCGUAGGAAUAUUUAUUUCUAUGCCCAGAAAUAUUGAAUUGAUGCAGUGGCUCAGUUACCUUCGCGCCUGCUUGUCUUAAAUGUAUUUAUUUUACUUCUGCCACGCCGCAGAUAUUUAAGGAGCUGUAGAUACCGCACCCCUCAACAAUGCGGGACUCACUCUAGCCACAGGAAAUAUUUGCUGGGUGGUUAUUUGGACAUAAGUUCCAUCUUAAACCCAGAUUGACACCCAAGCAGGGGCUAUAAAGAUACUUGCUCUAGAAUUUUUCCAAUUUAACUAUAUGUGCACACAUGGAGAAUUUAAGAAUAUUUUAUAUCCCUCUCUAGAUCUAAAUAUUUAGAUGUGUUCUGUUGCAUGCCGUGAAGCUAAAAGCAAUCAGUGGUGUUCAUACUGGACAUGGAGAUGUUGUAUCAUUUUCAUCUCCCUGCACUUAGAUAGGAAUCUCAAUCUAAUAAAUUCAACCUUGUCAUUUUUAGAAUCAACAGGAUUUCUCCGGCUGUCGUUUGCGUUGCAUUUAUCCGAAUAAAUCCAGCUCGCAGGCAUCAGGCAGAGAACGGCUCCUGGCUCGAGUGCAGGCAGACGCCUCGGCCCAGCGCAGGACAGGACGCGAGGGGGCUCCUCCUGCUCCGGCGCCUGCGGGUCCGGUCUUUGAGGAAGUCUGGACGAGCUGCGCCCCCAGGUCCAGUGGUCUCUUGCUGCCCCGCAGUGCCUGGCACCCCCGCCCCACCUCUGCCCCGACCUCUGCCGAUGCUUUGGAAAUGCGCCUGGCCAAGUCCGUCCGCAGCGAAACUGAAAGCAAAUUCCCCGGCAGAGACAGCUCGAACUUUCUCCGACGCAAGUUAGCAACAGAGAUGGAGUGGAGGCUCCGGAAGGACAGUGCGCUAGUGUGAGCGCGUGCGGGGUGGGGCGGAGGAAGAGGAGUGAAGAGGGCACUGGGUGGCCGGGCCUGGCUGGCGGCGAAACGCUAGGGAAGGCAUCUCGUCUUCCUUAUUUCUGGGCAACUUCUAUGCCCCUAAUGGUAAAAAUAGUUUCCAAGCUGCCUCGGACGCCCAGGAUGUGUUUGUAGAGAUCACAGUGGGGAAGAUGCGGCUUUGGAAAAGUUGGCAAAAGAGCUUUACCCAGAAUGGUCCCCCCGGCGGGGUUCAGGAAAGCUUGAGACCAGCUGGCUUCCUUCGGGGUGGAAUGGCCAGGAAUCGGCCUGAGGAACCAACUCCCUGCCCACUUCUCUGCCCUCACCUCCAACUAAGGCUUAAAUAACCUACCACCGCUUGCGCUGCAAACUUCCCCGCGUGGUCGGCGGGCGAGGCCUGGACGCAGAGGGGGCCCACAAGACUGCUCCUCGGUGCGCUGGGCCCCAGCCCUGAGAGAGGCUUGAACGGAGGUGGGAGGACUAGUGUGGUUUCCGCUCCCACUUGGCUUGUCCAGACCCUCAUGGCAGAUCCCCCAACUCCCGGGAGCUGGCGCUUCCCCCUGAGACCCACAAUCUUGGGGGGCCGGCUAGGGCGCAAAGUGCGCGCGCGGGCCCGCGCGGGGGCGGCCGCCAGUCUCUCUCUCCGCGGGGCCUGUCGCCGGGCCGGCCACGGCGGGUGAGUGAUGAGGGCAGAGAAGGGCGCCCAUAAAUCGCGGGUGUCAGGGCGAAAAACUCUCUUUAUUGUCUGCGUGAUGGAUGGGCCCGGGGACGAGACACCAAAUACUUCGUAUCGCCUUUAAAUGGGAACACAUUUUCCGCGGCCAUAAUUCAUGUUUUUUAAAUAGAAAGUUUGAAAUGUUGCCUAUAUUUCACCGGCCCUGACAUAUUUAUGAAUCGCUCCCUGCAUGCAAAUAUCAUUAUUUAAAGCGCCGGGGAGAGCGCGGGGGAGGGGAGGAGGCGCGGCCCCCGGGGCAUGGGGGUGGUGAGCCGGGGAAAUGUCGGUGGAGGGGGGCUCUCUCCCUAAAGGGCAGAUGAUGAGGCGCGGGGAAAAGCUGUAUCCGGAAACCAAGCGCACCCUGGGGCUUCCCUCCAGCCAGUGGACCCCGCGCGCCUGCCUGGGGAAGUUUUCACGGCUUAGGACCGAGGACAAGCCACCAUACCCUGCCAAGAGACCAGGGAAUAUUUUGCGUCCCUCUCCGAGGCCAAGAUCUAAGCUGAAGCCACCUUUUCCAAGAAGAAAGUUAAAAAAAAAAUUUAACAAACUCAAAUAAUAAUAACCCAACAUGUUUCGUGUUCUUUGCCAUUGCAUCGAUUUUAUUGAUUUUCAUUCUGCAAACCUGGGAUUGUGCGCGCCCAGGCGGGGUGGCCGUCAAAACCCAGUCACCUCAGGGAGUGGGUGGGGGACAAUCCUCCAACACCGCGGCCGCGACCCGCCCUCACCCAAGCAGCUCGCCACCUCCCAGGCACAACGGAGCCUGCGCAAGACGCUAGGACACAAAUGACCCGGCCCCCAAGCUCCGGGGGUUUCAGUCCCGCCCCUCCUUCUCUUCAGUGCACUGCAGCGCUUCCCUCGUCCGCGCCCGCCCUCCCGGAUCACCCACUGUCUCUACCAACGCUGUUUUUUUUUUUUUUAAAGCCGAGCACGUGCAGUCGGCCUCUCCCCUGCCCAUCCGGCGCGGGAGGCGCCCACGCCUGCACCGUCACUUGCCGAGACUUUACCUGUGCAAUCCCCCGCGGCGCCCGCGGUCGCGCCGGUAACAGAGAAAUGGAAGGGAGGGCUGGGGGGUGGGAGGGACAGAGAACACCGCCCGACAGCCAGGUGUGCGGACCCAGGGCCUCCUCUCCGGACGGGUGCUCGGGCCCUGGCCGAACCAGCUCCGGUAGCCGAAUUACGGCGAGGAGAGCGGACCGGGGAGGGGCGAGGGGAACCGGCCUAGGCAGGGAGGGGCGGGCCCAGCGGCACUUCCGCUGGGGGUGUGGCUAGGGCUGCCGCGCAGGCCCCGCCCCCCCGCGCAGGCCCGCCUCCGGCCCGCCGAGCUCCGCCCCCGCUGGGUGAGCUGCAAGAGCUCGUGCCUGGGCCAGAGGCCUGGCGCUUAACCUGGAUUUUGCGGGGGUGGCGGUGGGCAGCUCUCUUUUUGCCACGUGGGGGUUCUUUCUUUUUAGGUCAUAGGAACAGAAGCAUCUACAUACUAGCAACCCAGGCCCAAACUUGCGUGUAAGAUUUGCUCAAACUUUGGUCAUUUGGUAGUCCUGAGACUAACCCGGGCCAGGGGCUCUCAAAGUCUCUCUGGGAUCCGACUAGAUGUCAGGAAUGCAGUCCAUGCUCGUGGGUUCCCACGUUUCUUUUCAGGAGGAACAAAACAGAAACUAACACUUCUUGAUUGUUCAUUUUGUGCCAGGUGCUAUCUAAGGACUUUGUAUGAAUUGUGUCCUCACAGCAACUCUCUAAGGGAGUCCUACCACACGGCAUUUCACUUGAGGAGCCAAAGGCCUUGUCAUGGUCUCAGUCUCCCUGUCCUGCUUCUUCAAAAGAAAAGGGGCCUUUCUGCCACCCACUGGUGAGGACCGCGGAGAUGAGCGGUGUGGGGUGAGAAGUGGCAGCAGUGACCCGAGGAGCUGGCUGAUGUGCAGUGGGACCAGCUCUGUCAGAGCACUAGCGUCAUCUUUGACUUCCGUCCCCCUUAAUAAUUAAUAGCACCCAGAUCGUGUCGACGCAUUCUGCCUUUGAAAUGAGAGCUCCGUAAGGACCUGUGGGAUGAAUGAAGGAGCUACUGCCUGCAGAACCCAAAUGUGAAAGGAGUCAACAUGCAAGAAUGAGGUCAGCAGUCAUGGGAACCAGCAGAUCAGCCCAAGAUGUCACAAAGAUGUGGAAACCGAUGCUCACGGAGAGGAAAACACGUGCUCAAGUUCCAAAGUUUAUUGAUCAUCUAUUCUGGGCAAGGCUGGGAAUAUUUUGAGGUAUAAACGGGGCUCCUUCCAUUCAAGGGGCUGACCACCUCGUUGGGAAGUCAGGAACAGAGGUGAAUGUGCAUGAGACCACCACACAGCAGGCAUCAACGCCAGGCACGUGGAAGAGGCACUAAAAUGAUAUUUCAGACUCUGGAGCAGUCACUGAAGGCUGGACCAUUGGAGAAGCUUGUCCAUGGCGCAGGAAGGACUUGGGAAGGAUUCUGGGCAGGGGGAUUCCCGGGACGUGGAGACAUAGUGAACAAAUGCAUCACCAGGUCACCUUCACACCCAAAGUUGUGGCCCAGUACCCUGAGCUGGGCUCAAACACCAGAGGCACAGAGUGCAGCGUGGGAACAACUUACAGGGCCCUUGAACGUGCUGCUGUUGGUCGUAGAGCAUCGCGUCUGCUGCUUCCUCUAGAGAAGGGCACAAAGCAUGAAGACUUUUAAAAAGGUACCGUGUCCCAAACAGAACUCAUCAUGCACUGUCCCCGACCCCAGCCCCUGCAGCUAGUAUUUUGGUGAAUGACAUUGUCUUGGCUCCUCCAUUCUCUGCUCCCAAGCAGGUGUUAAGUCAAGGCAAUUGGGCUGCAAUCUCUUUGCAAUCAUCCCUCCCUUUGUGUCCCUACUGCGGCUCUUUCUGCAGGUCCUCACCGCGCUUCACGGGGAUACGGGGAGUGGGGUGGGGUGUGCUUUCAGAGCCUGAGAGGACAUUUUCCUGACCCUACUGUCCUCGUCCUCAGCCAUCCUCCCCAUAACUGUUGGACUGGUUGCUCUGAAACACAAACGUAAUUAUUCUACUCGGAUCGCUCUCAAAGUGAGGCCUUUGCCACCUGGUCCCUGCCGACCUCUUUUGCUGUCCACAUUGUCAAGGCCACCCAUGACCCCCGUGUUGUCAAAUCCUGUUAAUUCCUCCAUUCAUUUGGCCUUAAGCAGCACUGGACACACUGAUCAUGCCCUCUUCCUUUCGGUCCUUAACAUUUUAUUUCUAAAAUUUUCAAACUUACGAAAAAGUUUAAAGAAUAAAAUAGAGUGCCCAAUGCCCUUCACCUAGACUCACCAGCUGCUAACACUUUGCCACAUUGGUUCUCUCUCUCUCUCUCUCUCUCUCUCUCUCUCUCUCACACACACACACACACACACACACGCACACACACUUUUUUGGAACCAUCUGAAAGCUGUGGGCAUCUUGAUGUCUACCUUUAAUUUCUUCAGCUCAUAUCUCCUAAGGAAAAGGAUAUUCUCUUACAAAACCACAAUACAAUUAGUACAACUAAGAAAAGUAAUAUUAAUUCAAUACCAUCAGUAAUACCACCAAACAGUUCACAUUUAAAUGUUCCCAAUUUGUCCCUCACAUGUCUUUUUAGCUGCCAGUCCCUGACCCUGGGUCCAGUUCCAGUGUUUAAUAAAGAAGCAUGCUUUGGGCUGGGCGCCGUGGCUCAUGCCUGUAAUC